Ruditapes philippinarum (Manila clam) is the source of this 394-nucleotide long non-coding RNA. RefSeq lists it as uncharacterized. Lineage: Eukaryota; Metazoa; Mollusca; Bivalvia; Venerida; Veneridae. The transcript has 3 exons. The record is from RefSeq and is a predicted model, not a curated record.
AUAAACCAAUCUGCCCCGGGGGCAGAUAACCGUAUGAUGCCACAGUGUGGAUGACAGUAGAAAGGGUGUCAUGAUCAAUCACAACGCACUAACAGACUCCUUUUGAACUGUUGAAAAAGCGUCCCUGAAAAACAAGCUUCCUUAUUGCUGUAACAUCUUUCAAAUGAUGUAGUGAUCUGCAGUCUCAGAUGUCAGCAAGAGCAUGUCUGCAGAAGUACAUAGUCAUAAAACAAAAGGAAAUGAAGCAUCUUGGACUGUUCGUUUAGCUCACCAUCUCUUCUCCCCAUUGGCAGUGCAUCAUAAAUAUGUGAUAGAUGACCAGUCUAAAUUUAUAGUGUAUACGUGUCCUUGUUGUAACGAAAUUAUCACAGGAGAACAUGGAGACAAUAGUUUA